AUGCGAGGUAGAGCAGUCUGGCAGCUCGCAAGGUUCAUACCCUUGAGGCCAUGGGUUCAAAUCCCAUCCUCGAUA
Molecule: transfer RNA, 75 nt
Filed under: Enterocloster bolteae
Lineage: Bacteria; Bacillati; Bacillota; Clostridia; Lachnospirales; Lachnospiraceae
Description: tRNA-Met
Rfam family: tRNA
About the family: Transfer RNA (tRNA) molecules are approximately 80 nucleotides in length. Their secondary structure includes four short double-helical elements and three loops (D, anti-codon, and T loops). Further hydrogen bonds mediate the characteristic L-shaped molecular structure. tRNAs have two regions of fundamental functional importance: the anti-codon, which is responsible for specific mRNA codon recognition, and the 3' end, to which the tRNAs corresponding amino acid is attached (by aminoacyl-tRNA synthetases). tRNAs cope with the degeneracy of the genetic code in two manners: having more than one tRNA (with a specific anti-codon) for a particular amino acid; and 'wobble' base-pairing, i.e. permitting non-standard base-pairing at the 3rd anti-codon position.
Source: RNAcentral